RNAcentral lists this ribosomal RNA (275 nucleotides) under uncultured soil bacterium. RNAcentral describes it as "partial 16S ribosomal RNA". It matches the Rfam family "Bacterial small subunit ribosomal RNA", at positions 26 to 285 of the family's 1533-position model. The record is from RNAcentral.
AGAAUCAACGCUGGCGGCGUGCCUCAGACAUGCAAGUCGAACGCGAAAGUUCCCUUCGGGGGGCGAGUAGAGUGGCGCACGGGUGAGUAACACGUAGGUAAUCUACCUUCGGAUGGGGAAUAACAACCGGAAACGGUUGCUAAUACCGCAUAAUGCAGCGGCACCUAAUGGUGACAGUUGUUAAAGCGGGGGAUCGAAAGACCUCGCGUCUGAAGAGGAGCCUGCGGCGGAUUAGCUAGUUGGUAGGUAACGGCCUACCAAGGCUACGAUCCGUA